Long non-coding RNA from Culex quinquefasciatus (southern house mosquito), 477 nucleotides. RefSeq lists it as uncharacterized. NCBI's taxonomy places the organism in Eukaryota, Metazoa, Arthropoda, Insecta, Diptera, Culicidae. The transcript has 4 exons. The record is from RefSeq and is a predicted model, not a curated record.
GCGAAUUUCUCACAUAUGGCUACAUUUACGCCAUUUUUGGGAUUGUAGUUUCGAUUUAUCGUGUGAUUGGAAGUUCGCUGUACAUCGGUACAAAGACUUCAAAUGGCCCCGAUAACAGCACCGAUACGAAUUACACGAUUGAGUACCAUCCAUCUGCAGAACUUUCUUCGAUGUUAGUGACGUUAACAUUCUUCAUCAUACUUUUUGUUGGAGUUCACAAGAAAAACACUGCCCUGGUGAAAAUCUACAAAGCAUUUCACAUCAUAACCUCGAUACUGCUUUUCAUUUUACUAACCAUCGGACUUCUUGUGGUGGUUGGCUUUUUGACAUCUUCGAGCAAAGCGCUGGGUGUUGCAAUUUUAUAUGAAUUGAUGAUACUUUUGGGCGUUGACAUCGCCAUUUUCUUUCUAGGUAGAUGGAUUACACUACUCGACAAAACAAAACUUGUGUCAAGGGAUUGACGAUAUCUCAUCCGUU